GUGCAGCAGGCGAGAAUCCUCCGCAAUGCGCGAAAGCGCGACGGGGUUACCCCGAGUGCCGUCCGCUGAGGACGGCUUUUGCCCAGUGUAGCCAGCUGGGCGAAUAAGGAGAGGGCAAGUCUGGUGUCAGCCGCCGCGGUAAUACCAGCUCUCCGAGUGGUGGGGACGCUUAUUGGGCCUAAAGCAUCCGUAGCCGGUCUGGCAAGUCCCUUGUUAAAUCCAACGAUUCAAUCGUUGGACUGCAAGGGGAUACUGCCAGACUAGGGGCGGGAGAGGCGACGGUAGUUCCGGGUACGGGUGGAAAGUCCU
RNAcentral lists this ribosomal RNA (309 nucleotides) under uncultured microorganism. RNAcentral's name for it is "bacterial SSU rRNA". It matches the Rfam family "Archaeal small subunit ribosomal RNA", at positions 330 to 641 of the family's 1478-position model. The record is from RNAcentral.